AUGUAUGGUAAUGAAGAUGACAAACUGUUUUGUUUAACUGUAGCAAUUGAUUUAUUAAAAGAAAAAUGUCAUGGCAUGAAUUUGUAUUUUUUUACAAAAUGACAUAAAUUUGAGUAAUUGGAGUUUUCUAGAACAAUUUGUUUUGCAAAAUAAAUUAAAUUUUGAAUUUUAUAUGUUUAUUAAUAAUAUUUUAAAAAUAAAUAGCUCUAAAGAUAUUAAAGAAAAAAUGAAAAAAAAAUAUGAACAAGAAAUAUAUCAAAUAAAAGAAAUAACAGGAUGUAAUAAUAAUAAUUUAAUUUUUAAAAAUUUACGAAAAAAAUAAUUUUGAUGUAUCUAAUACUGUGGAAACAAUUUUAAAUAUGAAUAACAAUAAACUUCAUAGUAGUAUAGAAGAUAAAAAAAAUACGCUCAUUUUUUCUUCACAUAGUUUGGCUAGUAGUUCCAGUGGUAGUGAUGUUAUUGGUAGUGAUAGUAGUGUUAGUGUUAGUGUUAGUGGUAGUGUUAGUGGUAGUGGUGUUGAUAAUCCGGAUUCUGCUUUUUCAAAAAAUAACUUAUCAUCAUCUUCAUUAUCAUUUGUAACAGAAAUAGGAGGAACAAAAAAAAAUAUUUUAGAAAUAUUAAGAGAACGAGAGAGAAAAAGUAAAGCUCAAAAAAAAAGAAAAAAUAAAUAUGAGUAUACUACUAAUCGUUUAUUGGAUGAUGAAAACAAAAAUAAAAUUUUGAAUCAACUUAAUUGUUCAAGUGACUCAGAAGAAUCAUUAUUAGAUAUAUCAAUAAAUAUAAAUCAAAACAAUAUUAUUACCCCAACUUCAUAUAGACAAAACUAUAACUAUGGGGAUAAAUCUAGUAGUUCUCAAAAUGAAAAUAAACAAACUGAUACAUACAAAGGAAAACAAAAUAAACAGAAUUAUAGAUAUAACAGAGAAACAAGUUAUUAUAAACCUAACGUUUCUGCACAACAACAAAACAUUAUUACAAGAAAUGACAAUGGAAAUGCUCGAUCAAAUUAUACUCAUAAAGGUAUACGAAAUUAUAGUAAUACUGGAACACAACAAUACAGUCGUACUGAUAAAAAUAAUUACAGUCGUACUGAUCAAUCAAAUUAUAAGUCAAGAGUAAGGGAAAUGCCCAAAGCAGAAGGGAAGGAGAUACUACGAACAAAAACACUCAUUCGACGAAAGGUAUAAUAAACACACAAAAAAAAAGUACAUAUAUAUGUGCAUAUUUUUAUGCAUAAAUUUACGUACAAAUUCAAUAUACAUACAUAUACACAUAUAUAUAUACACUUUUUUUAAUUUAGAAAAAACGAAAAGAAGUUAUAAGAAAAAAAACAGUGAACAAAGGAAAAUACAAUCAAAAACAGUAAUGACAAAAAAAAAAAAAAAAAAAAAAAAUAUAUAUUAUAUUAUAAUAUAAUGUAAUAUAAUAUAAUAUAAUAAUGUUUUAUUUUUAUCUGUCUCUAUUCCCUCAUUCAGCAUUUGUACAUAUUAUAUGGAUGUAUACAUAUAUAUAUAUAUAUAUACACCUACAUGUACGUGUAUAUAUGUGUGAGUUAAUUAUACCCAUGUUAUUGUCCUUUUCUUUUCAUAGGUAUGAUAAAAAAAUGGGUAGAGGUAUGUUUUAAAAUAAUAAUAAUAAUAAUAAUAAUAAUAAUUAAAAAAAAAAUGUCUGUAAAUAUCUAGUCAAUUUUUUAUUAAUUUGUUUAUAAAAAAUUGAGAAAACUAUUCACAGAUUUUAAUUUUGCAUUAUAUGUUAUUCCCUUUUAUUUUAAAAAAUAAAAAUAUAUGGGUCUAAACUAAUAAUGCUUAU
Long non-coding RNA from Piliocolobus tephrosceles (Ugandan red Colobus), 1809 nucleotides. The record is from Ensembl. Lineage: Eukaryota; Metazoa; Chordata; Mammalia; Primates; Cercopithecidae.